AAUGUUUUUCUCUUAAAAUUCAAACUUUUUUCUUAAAAAUCUGACUUUUCUCCAAAAAUAAGAUCCUCUGGAAUUUUCCAAUUUAUUUAUUUCAUCAGAAUUUGACCUUAAUAUCAGAAAUUUCACUUUUUCUUGAAAGCUUUUAAUUUCAGGACACACUCUGAAGUGUGACCUUCAGGACAGCCGUGCAGAGUAAACAAAACACAAACAGACGAAAACCCACAACCAUCACCACACUCAAUAAACAAAUACACACAAGAGGGAUGCUGAAAUGGAAAAUAUGCAAUAGGUGGACUAGUAUUUAUUUGUUGCUUUAUUCAUUUCUAUAAAACAGCAAAAACAAAAAAUCUCAAACAGAUUCUAGAAAGAUGGAAACAUAUUUGCUGCCACCUUUAAACACUUGGAAGAAAGCAAAGAAAAGAAAAAAAGGAGUUAAAACAAUAAUUAGUUAAUUAAAAAUAAUAUAUAUCUGCAAUCUAGCAUCUAGGUAUAGUUGUGGUUUCAAACAAAUCAUUUAGUUUAAAAUAACACAAUCACUGCCAAGUUUGUAUCUUAUUUCUAAAUUUGAAUUGCUUUUUUUAAGGUGAUUUGGUUUCUUUAAUUGUUUUAUAAUAGAUUGUUCCAUAUUAAUAACUUUUAACACUUAAUUUACUGAAAAAUCAACUUGAUGUAAUUCACUGUGUAAUUACUAGCAGAUAAGAUUCUUAUUGCCCUUUUUAAUAGAAUAAAAAUUUAACUUAAGUAAGUUUUACUUUUUUUUCCACAAAUUUUGAACUUUUUUUGUCUUGCAUUUUUUAAAAGUUCUGACAUUAAUUUCAGAACUCCUUAGAAUUAUGUUUUUAAUUAACUUUCCAGCUUUUAUCACCAAUUUUAAAUGAAAAUCUCAAAAUACCACCUUAAAAAAUAUAAAAAGUAUUGGUCGAACAUGUUUUUUUUAUUCCUAUUGACUAAUGAUAUGCUAUCCGGUGUUACUUUACCUUUUAUAAAAUGCACCAAAGAGGUUUUUCUUGAUGAUCCAGCAUGAAUACUUUGGAUGAAAUGAACAGACGCCCACAGAACAACACUCACUGCUGGUUCACCCUAUAAUGGUAACACUUACACAACAUCGUUGAGCUCCAGCCUGGUGUCAGGAGACGGGUUAAUGAGCACAUAAGACAGAGUGUUCUGGUGGUCGUUCUGCUCAUCUGAAACAGAAAGGGAGUUAACAUAAACAUGAGAAACAAUCAGAUCUGGGGUCCAAAUGUCUUUACCUUGCAGGUAUCCCAGGUUGACUCUGUUCAUCACAUCACUGGCGGUCAGAUUUGACAGGUCUUCUGCAGUCAGAGAGGAAAAAUCAAACAUCAAAGAACAAAAAAAGAAAAAAAAA
Long non-coding RNA from Oryzias melastigma (Indian medaka), 1366 nucleotides. RefSeq lists it as uncharacterized. The record is from RefSeq and is a predicted model, not a curated record. Lineage: Eukaryota; Metazoa; Chordata; Actinopteri; Beloniformes; Adrianichthyidae. The transcript has 2 exons.